UGGGGAAUUUUGGACAAUGGGCGAAAGCCUGAUCCAGCAAUGCCGCGUGUGUGAAGAAGGCCUUCGGGUUGUAAAGCACUUUUGUCCGGAAAGAAAUCCUUGGCUCUAAUACAGUCGGGGGAUGACGGUACCGGAAGAAUAAGCACCGGCUAACUACGUGCCAGCAGCCGCGGUAAUACGUAGGGUGCAAGCGUUAAUCGGAAUUACUGGGCGUAAAGCGUGCGCAGGCGGUUUGCUAAGACCGAUGUGAAAUCCCCGGGCUCAACCUGGGAACUGCAUUGGUGACUGGUAGGCUAGAGUAUGGCAGAGGGGGGUAGAAUUCCACGUGUAGCAGUGAAAUGCGUAGAGAUGUGGAGGAAUACCGAUGGCGAAGGCAGCCCCCUGGGCCAAUACUGACGCUCAUGCACGAAAGCGUGGGGAGCAAACAGGAUUAGAUACCCUGGUAGUCCACGCCCUAAACGAUGUCAACUAGUUGUUGGGGAUUCAUUUCCUUAGUAACGUAGCUAACGCGUGAAGUUGACCGCCUGGGGAGUACGGUCGCAAGAUUAAAACUCAAAGGAAUUGACGGGGUCAUAGCUGUUUCCU
Molecule: ribosomal RNA, 585 nt
Filed under: uncultured bacterium
Lineage: Bacteria
Description: partial 16S ribosomal RNA
Rfam family: Bacterial small subunit ribosomal RNA
Source: RNAcentral